AUGGCAGCGGCAGAAGAGAACGGCAAUGGAUUAGAGUUCUUAACAGAUCCUGUCGACAGAUUCCCCUGGCCGGAUCUUGAAGCCAACGACUUAACUGCGGGCGGUGAGGCAGGCACAUGUCUCACACAGUCGGCUGCUGAAUCAAGCAUGGGAGAUGUUGGCGACGACCCCCUCUCAAUCCAGUUGGCCGAGAAUAACGGCUGCGAACCACUGAGCUUGUCGGCGGGCGAUUCGCAACAGUCAACAGGGAAAGAUGACCCUCAAGCCCCCGGCUGGACUAGAAGAUCCGUAUUGGGCGAGCCCCUAUUGAGCGCACACCAUGCGCUGGACAAUAUGUGCCCUCGAAAAACGUUAAGAGGAUACGUGGAGAAGAAGACAGAUACAAUAGUGGUACCAGCUGUUGGAUACAACUUUGAUUCGUUGGGAGAAGCAUACGACUUCUACAAUCUGUUUUCGUGGGAAAUUGGAUUUGGAAUAAGAUAUGGAAAAAGUAAGCUGAACGUCGAGAGAACCAAAUGUAUGCAAGAAAUAGUCUGUGGAUGCUCGGGCAAACCAAAAAAUGGAAACACACGGACAUGCCGAUGCGAGUGCCCUGCAUUGAUACGUUUGCUUCAAUCAAAUGACAAUGGCUGGUACAUAAGUGAGCAUAGGCCAUCCCACAACCAUGUGUUGACAGAUAAAUGUGGUGAAAAGGUGUACUGGCCUUCACAUAAACAUAUAGAUCUGUAUACAAGAGAUCUUGUCAAACAGCUUAGGGGGAACAAUAUAAGCAUUGGAAAAGUUUACAACAUAAUUGGUAGCUUCUUCGGCUCAAUGAAUAAUGUGCCUUUCACAAAAAAGGCUCUGAGGGGUCUAUGUGGUGAAAUCAGCUGA
Molecule: ribosomal RNA, 873 nt
Filed under: Triticum aestivum (bread wheat)
Lineage: Eukaryota; Viridiplantae; Streptophyta; Magnoliopsida; Poales; Poaceae
Description: partial small subunit ribosomal RNA
Source: RNAcentral